CCUACGGGAGGCAGCAGUGGGGAAUAUUGGACAAUGGGGGGAACCCUGAUCCAGCCAUGCCGCGUGUGUGAAGAAGGCCCUCGGGUUGUAAAGCACUUUCAGUGAGGAAGAACGCCUGGUGGUUAAUACCCAUUAGGAAAGACAUCACUCACAGAAGAAGCACCGGCUAACUCCGUGCCAGCAGCCGCGGUAAUACGGAGGGUGCGAGCGUUAAUCGGAAUUACUGGGCGUAAAGCGCGCGUAGGUGGCUUGAUAAGCCGGUUGUGAAAGCCCCGGGCUCAACCUGGGAACGGCAUCCGGAACUGUCAAGCUAGAGUGCAGGAGAGGAAGGUAGAAUUCCCGGUGUAGCGGUGAAAUGCGUAGAGAUCGGGAGGAAUACCAGUGGCGAAGGCGGCCUUCUGGACUGACACUGACACUGAGGUGCGAAAGCGUGGGUAGCAAACAGGAUUAGAUACCCUAGUAGUC
RNAcentral lists this ribosomal RNA (465 nucleotides) under Vreelandella stevensii. RNAcentral's name for it is "partial 16S ribosomal RNA". It matches the Rfam family "Bacterial small subunit ribosomal RNA", at positions 338 to 795 of the family's 1533-position model. The record is from RNAcentral. Lineage: Bacteria; Pseudomonadati; Pseudomonadota; Gammaproteobacteria; Oceanospirillales; Halomonadaceae.